Molecule: long non-coding RNA, 1143 nt
Organism: Ochlerotatus camptorhynchus
Lineage: Eukaryota; Metazoa; Arthropoda; Insecta; Diptera; Culicidae
Exons: 2
Source: RefSeq, a predicted model, not a curated record
UAGUUGAACAACACGUUAUUUUUGUUUGUGUUACGGAACCAAAAUCGUAAACAACGCUGAUAAGCGACCAGAGUGCACAAGAGGGCCAAGAACUUUUUCGCGAUCUUCCUGUUGUGGCAGUGACCAACCAAGGUUGCGAUUUCAAUUUGCAGGAAGAAACAAGAGUUCAAGUGUGAAAUUUACUUCCAAACAGUCAAUCUCGUGAAAUAGGCAAAUCAAAAUCGUCAUACGGGGACAACUGCGAGCAAGUUCAAUGUGCAGCAUAGAUAGAAACUGAAGUUCAAGACCUACCACUUGCUCAGCUGCGUGAGACGCGUUGAUCUUCUUAUUUUGUGACCACUUUGCUUUAACUGUUGCCGUUAUUGAUCAGAACCGGUGCCAGUGGUACCAGAAGCAGCAACGGCAGUAGUAAAUCUCAUCAAGGUCAACUGGGUUGCAAUCCGCAGAAAAACAUAUGAUCGAACCGUUUUGUUCAAUCGUCAUUAACAUACCUGCAGCAGCACCCUCUUUGUGAGCCGGCAGGAACGGAAGAAUUUAUGAAUGAGCGGCGUAUGGUAAAAUCAACAACGUUAAAGUUACGAUGCAUCACUUUGACUUGCGUGCCGCCUUUCAUUGUUUGUGCGCAUAUGUAAUUGGGCUUGCAGUGGCUUCGUCAAACUGACAACUACAGUUGUUUUUAAAGUGGAUCCCCGUCGUCACAGGAUUCAGCGACCGCUCGCCAAACCCGUUGCAGCUAAGAACGAAAGGAAAGCAAAGCAUCAUAACGCGAUAGAACGCCAGUCGCGAAAAGCCCUCAUAUAAAAGCAUUGGCUCGCUCCUGUCCAUUCGAUAGAUCAUCUACCGUGGACCACCCGAUCGGACGUGCGGCUCUCUCGGCAACAUUCGUGCGCACUCAGCAACGUGAUAGUGUAUUCAUUCCAAUGCCCAUCUAAGGAUCGCCACAUAGUGUGAAAAUAGCUGAUUGUGGAUAAUUGCAUUGAUUAGGCCUCGAUCACCAUUCGAACAGUGCUCAAAGUGUUAACAGCCACUGAACUUGGCCAAACCAUUUAAAGGCAACCACUGAAAGACCCACGCUGCUGCAACCGUGUGAUCGCCAUCGAAUACGCACCCCUUAAUUAUCCGUUGAUUGAGUGCUAAAAAUAA